GCAAAUUAUGGUGGAAAAUAAGUAUUUGGUCAAUAACAAAAGUUUAUCUCAAUACUUUGUCAUAUACUCUUUGUUGGCAAUGACAGAGGUCAAACAUUUUCUGUAAGUCUUCACAAGGUUUUCCUGAACAUGGGGGUUGUUUCCAGAGACUCAAGGUACAACAGCUGUACUGUGUUGGAGCCAGUAAGGAGUUCUGGCAGCACAAACAUAAUGUCUCUAGGUUUCUCCCUAGGUUCCUGACUUUCUAGGGAGUUUUUCCUAGCCACUGUGCUUCUACACCUGAAUUGCUUGCUGUCUGGGGUUUUAGGCUGUGUUUCUGUACAGCACUUUGUGACAUCAGCUGAUAUAAAAUGGGCUUUAUAAAUACAUUUGAUUGAAUGAAUCCAUCGACAGACUACUUCGUAAGUUAUCAAUUUUGUAAGGUUGAGAAAUUAGAAACUAUUAAGAGGAAGGAUGUUUGUAAAUGUAUGUAGAAAAUGGGUCAUAUCUUCAGAAGAUUCUCACAUUGUUUGUGAUACAAAUGUAAAAAGCAUAUUUCCCCAAUAAAGCUUCUAUGUGAGAAUUGCCAGACAACUCUGGGACACCCACACUGGUGUAAAGUCACCCUAAUUACAUACAAUAGACAUUUAAAAUCAUACCACACCGCACGCUUUGCAAAAUAAAUGUACACAUACAUGUUAUUCAAUAAUUGCAUCCAAACUGCUUGCGAGCGUCUGAGUAGACAGGCGUUAAAAUAGAACUUGGUUAAAUUUGUGACACUUGACACGCUGCAAGUUCCAUCUCUCCCAUCUCCUUAUUGUUUUUUAGGAGCAUAUACCCACGUGGGUGAUUGAAAGAUGAACUCCAGUGCAGUUGGUGGUGGUAAUGCACCUUAAAGUUGGUUGUCAACCGCCAUAUAAAGUUCAAAGAAGAAGAAGACCGAAGGAGAAGAGAUGACAAGAAACAAACUCGGUUGACGGUUUUAUCUCUGGAUUAAUUGUCAGAGUAGAGGACCUUGUGCAUUUCAGGUAAAAUAACAACACAAUGUUUAUAUCCCAGGACAAAUUUGCUAGCAAUAGCAAGCUAGCUAGCUAAAUGGCCAUACAUUUUUAAUUAUUUUCGACCUGUCCCCAAAUUAAUAUAGUUGGUUCAGAGUUUGUUUUGAUAUUUCAACCUGUGUGUCCUGAUUGAGUCUGAUAUGGAUGGACAAAAACCAACAUGUGCGCAAUGUCGUGCAUGCUCAGUCUAGUCAGCAUUGUGCCCAGUACUGUUCUUAUACAGCAAUGGAGAAUGAGACCAAGGAAAGCCUCUCCGCCGUGACCAUCGACAGAAGGGAGGAGCUCCUGCAGAAUGGAGAAAGAGGGCUUCAUAAGGACAAUGGACAAGCUGGUGACCCAAGUCCCACUGACUGAAGUUUGUACUGAUGCCCAAAUGUCUUCCCUAAGGAGUAAGUUGUUUCUUUUGAAUUUAACAAUACACAACUAGACAACAGACAAUACAUGGCUCCAACAGUAUAAACUUAUAGAAAUUCAAGAAUAGUCAUUUCAUCUCUUGAAUUUCAGUUUUUCAGAACCAGAGACGGUACAUGGAGCUGGAACUUCAUGAGGAAGUAAUGCAAUCAUCACUUUGCUUGGUUUCAUUUAGUUGAUGUUUCAACUGAAAUGCCUAUUGAGAUAAUUCUCUUAACCCCUCAAAACAUAGUUUAAAAAAGGCUGGGCAGCAGGCAGGGUACUCCACCAUUCUCCAGUGGAGUAAGGACAUAGUCAACCACUUCUCCAGUAAGGACAUAGUCAACCACUCCUCCAGUAAGGAUAUAGUCAAUCACUUCUCCAGUAAGGACAUAGUCAACCACUUCUCCAGUAAGGACAUAGUCAACCACUUCUCCAGUAAGGAUAUAGUCAAUCACUUCUCCAGUAAGGACAUAGUCAACCACUUCUCCAGUAAGGACAUGGUCAACCACUUCUCCAGUAAGGACAUAGUCAACCACUUCUCCAGUAAGGUCAUAGUCAACCACUUCUCCAGUAAGGACAUAGUCAACCACUUCUCCAGUAAGGACACAGUCAACCACUUCUCCAGUA
Long non-coding RNA from Oncorhynchus tshawytscha (Chinook salmon), 2057 nucleotides. The record is from Ensembl. NCBI's taxonomy places the organism in Eukaryota, Metazoa, Chordata, Actinopteri, Salmoniformes, Salmonidae.